RNAcentral lists this long non-coding RNA (3084 nucleotides) under Mus musculus (house mouse). Its description in RNAcentral is "long non-coding RNA chr19:12804469-12807553". The record is from RNAcentral. Lineage: Eukaryota; Metazoa; Chordata; Mammalia; Rodentia; Muridae.
GAAGAGAGACUCUUCCUGGCGGCCUUCAGAUCAAGAACUCUCAGCUCCUUCUCCAACACCAUGUCUGCCUAAAUAUUGCCAUGCUUCCUGCUGUCAUGAUAAUGGACUGAAUCUCUGAAACUGUAGGCUAGCUCUAAGUAAAUAUGUUGUCCUUUAUAAGAGUGGUCUUGGUCAUGGUAUCUCUUCACAGCAAUGGAAAUCUUAACUAAGAAAAUGACCAUAGAGUAAGCCUUUGAAAAUAAGGGCAUAAUAGCAGAGUAUUGCCUGGUACACUCUGACUACUUGAUGUUACUUCCUGAACCAUAACCUGUUACCAGAGGUGUCACAUUAUAGUUUGACUGGAGUCACAUCCAGUAAGACCAGGGAUCACCUGAUAGUUUAGAUAAGUCUUCUCGGGUGACUCUAUACAGCUGUUACUAUGUUUGGCUUAUUUUCUGUUAAAUACAUUCAGAAAUUGUUUUCAUCUAGAUAGAGAUGGUAAAACUCUUGGCAGUGACUACACACACACACACACACACACACACACACACACAAAACCAAAAAAAAAACCAAAAUGCCCUAAAUCCACCAGAGAUGAUUUAUUUGAAAGCCCAGAGAUCUGUUGUGUUAAUUUAUGAUUGUUAAAACUAUUAAGUACAUAUUUGCUGAGAUGUGUAUUCUCUUCCUUUAGAUAAUUGUGCACAAUGCUUAAUUGCGACUGAAGCUUGCUUAAUGAGAAUGCAAUUAUAAGACAUUGAGUGGAUAUCUUGUAUUUAUGAACUAUGAUGUUCUGGUUCACUUUUGGGUACUCUCUACAAUGAGUAUCCCAGACCUGGAAUUUGAGUGCAGGAAUAGCUACUUUCCAGCUUUUCCCCAGAAUGCUUAUCUGAUUCUGUACUAGAGAGUGAUAUGUUUUGAAAUGAUUCAAGUAUACUCAUAGCAUCUUUUUUAUUUUAUUUUAUUUUUUUAGAUUUUAUUUAUUUAUUUAUUUAUUUAUUUAACAGAUAUUUUCUUUAUUUACAUUUUAAAUGUUAUCACCCCUUUCCUAGUUUCCCCUCUGAAAAUCCCCUAUCACCUCCCCUCUCCCCCUACUCCUCAACCCACCCACUCCCAUUUUUGGCCCUGGAAUUCCCCUAUACUGGGGCAUGGAACCUUCACAGGACCUAGGGCUUCUCCUCCCAUUGAUAACCGACUAGGCCAUCCUCUGCUACAUAUGCAGCUAGAAACACAAGUUCCACCAUGUGUUUUCUUUGAUUGGUGGUUUAGUCCCAAGGAGCUCUGGGGGUACUGGUUAGUUCAUAUUGUUGUUCCUCCUAUGGGGCUGCGAAUCCCUUCAGCUCCUUGGGUACUUUCUCUAGCUCCUCCAUUGGGCAUCUUAAUGGAAGACUGCAUGGAUUCCUCGACUGCAGUAUCAUGCAGCAGCCUCAUAGUCUUGAGAUAAGACCAAUCAUCACAUUCUUUCACCCUGAGUCUGGUAGUGACUUCUCACCUCAUUUGCAGUAGAGGCCACAGUGUUGGCACUGACUUUUGUGGAUGACCACAUCUUUGUUUACUUGCGUAAGACCUGAGCUUUUGCUUCUUUUUCUGACAGCUCAUUGAUUUCCUUUCACAGAAAACUUUCAAUUGUUUUUGAAGUUUUAUUAUUAAUAUUUUCUUUAAUACAUUAAUUUGACUAUGACUAACUCCAAAGCAUCUUCUUGAUCUAGUUCAGACAGAGUAUCAGUCACAAUACCUUUUCAUGAUAGUACUCAGGGAGAUGGCUCUGAAGUCUAAGAGUGAGAACAUAAGCUAACCUCUCUGGUCUUAGGUAGUAGCAGAAGAAAUCUGCUAGUCAGUCUGUAUGCUGCCAUGCUGUGGUCCAUGCGAUGCAUACCUGGAACAUCUGGGGUCAGUAAGUAGUGAGAAAAUCACACAUACAAUCAUAGGGAUUAGAGUUUAGUAUUGUUAUUCCAAAUACUAUACUAUGAAUGGUAUGAAAGCAGUUGGCUUAAAGCAAAACGGAAACCAAAUCUUCAGGUCUCAUGCUCAGCUGCAGGAAGUGUUCUUGCAGAUCUCUGUGAGAUACACAUGUCCACUUCUAGCAAAGCACUUUUGUAAACAUUUCUUUGCUUCUUUCUCUCUCUCUCUUUCUCUUUCUCUCUCUCUCUCUUCCUUCCUUCCUUCCUUCCUUCCUCUCUCUUUCUCUCUCUCUUUCUUUCUCUCUCUUUCUUUCUUUCUCUCUCUCCUUCUCUUUCUCUCUUUCUUUCUUUCUUUCUUUCUUUCUUUCUUUCUUUCUUUCUUUCUUCCCUUCUUUCUCUCUCUCUUUCUUUUCUUUCUUUCUAUCUUUCUUUCUCUCUUUCUCUCUUUCUUUCUCUCUCUCUUUCUUUCUUUCUCUCUCUCUUUCUUUCUCUCUUUCUUCUCUCUCUCUCUCUCCCCCCCCUCUGUUCCUCUCUCUUUGUCUCUUUUUCCUUGUUUUUGCUCACUUUCAAUUCCACAUUUUCUUCUGCUUAUAUGCAAGGUGGGAAGAGUAGACUGUCUUUGAAAGUCAUCAAAAUAUGCUAUAUUAACUCACUGUCAUCAGAGGUCUCAAUUAGAAAAUCAGAACAUUCCAAGCUUUUUGAUUUAUUUUUUUACCCGAUGUACAGCAUCAAAAUAAAACCUCUGGAAGUUCAUUUGUUCAUUAUCUUGUUAAAAAAAUAAAACAAACAAUAUCACUAAUAUCAGUACAGUAAGUUGAAAUAGUUUAACAAUGAAGAUAGUAAAAUUUUAUGGUAAGAAUAAGAAAACAGAUUGUGAAUAGCAUCACAAUAAAGUGUUCUUACCAACUUAACCCCAAUAGCAGAAAUGUGUCAGAAGAAGAAUGUAAAGUGCACAGAAUUCUCGACUUCAUCAAAACACACAGCAGCAUUUUGUCCCUCAAAACUAAAACUAUUAAGACUGGCAAAUAUUUUGGCUGUUACCCUCUGGCUUUUGAAAAUGUCCAACCUCUGAAAACUCAUUUCCUAAAGCUUAGGUUGCCUUAUGUGCAAAAUCAGCUGGAGAUCUGUAAUCAAAUUAUACAAGCAAGAUAGAUCGAAAAAGUGUUUGUUAACAAAGUACAAUUGAGCAGCUCUAAUUUUUCCUAGC